AAUAGAUACCCGGGUAGUCCACGCCGUAAACGAUGGAUGCUAGCCGUCGGCAAGCUUGCUUGUCGGUGGCGCAGCUAACGCAUUAAGCAUCCCGCCUGAGGAGUACGGCCGCAAGGUUAAAACUCAAAGGAAUUGACGGGGGGCCCGCACAAGCGGUGGAGCAUGUGGUUUAAUUCGACGCAACGCGAAGAACCUUACCAGCUCUUGACAUGUCAGGUCGGUUUCCAGAGAUGGAUUCCUCCCAGCAAUGGGCCUGAACACAGGUGCUGCAUGGCUGUCGUCAGCUCGUGUCGUGAGAUGUUGGGUUAAGUCCCGCAACGAGCGCAACCCUCGCCAUUAGUUGCCAGCAUUUAGUUGGGCACUCUAGUGGGACUGCCGGUGAUAAGCCGGAGGAAGGUGGGAUGACGUCAAGUCAUCAUGGCCCGUUAUGGGCUGGGCUACACACGUGCUACAAUGGCGGUGACAGUGGGCAGCUACUCAGCAAUGAGGUGCUAAUCCCAAAAAACCGUCG
RNAcentral lists this ribosomal RNA (511 nucleotides) under uncultured bacterium. Its description in RNAcentral is "bacterial SSU rRNA". It matches the Rfam family "Bacterial small subunit ribosomal RNA", at positions 777 to 1288 of the family's 1533-position model. The record is from RNAcentral.